GGGGGAUUAGCACAACGGUUAGGGCAGUCUGCUUAUAACGGAUUGAAGAGUGUUCAACUCACUCAUCCCCCA
RNAcentral lists this transfer RNA (72 nucleotides) under Caudoviricetes sp. RNAcentral describes it as "tRNA-Ile". It matches the Rfam family "tRNA". Rfam says of the family: Transfer RNA (tRNA) molecules are approximately 80 nucleotides in length. Their secondary structure includes four short double-helical elements and three loops (D, anti-codon, and T loops). The record is from RNAcentral. Lineage: Duplodnaviria; Heunggongvirae; Uroviricota; Caudoviricetes.